GAGUUUGAUCUUGGCUCAGAUUGAACGCUGGCGGCAUGCCUUACACAUGCAAGUCGAACGGCAGCACGGGAGCUUGCUCCUGGUGGGCGAGUGGCGAACGGGUGAGUAAUGCAUCGGAACGUAUCCUGGAGUGGGGGGAUAACGUAGCGAAAGUUACGCUAAUACCGCAUAUUCUGUGAGCAGGAAAGCGGGGGACCUUCGGGCCUCGCGCUCUUGGAGCGGCCGAUGUCGGAUUAGCUAGUUGGUGAGGUAAAGGCUCACCAAGGCGACGAUCCGUAGCAGGUCUGAGAGGAUGAUCUGCCACACUGGAACUGAGACACGGUCCAGACUCCACGGGAGGCAGCAGUGGGGAAUUUUGGACAAUGGGGGCAACCCUGAUCCAGCCACGCCGCGUGAGUG
Molecule: ribosomal RNA, 399 nt
Filed under: bacterium enrichment culture clone ALO1_GLFRUDD03GD7L7
Lineage: Bacteria
Description: bacterial SSU rRNA
Rfam family: Bacterial small subunit ribosomal RNA
Source: RNAcentral